GGGGUAAUAUGACGAGGAGAUCGGCGGAGGAGACGGAGAACUGGGGCUGCUGUGUCCACCGCUGCUACGUUGAGCUGGUGGGAGCGGAGGUGGAGGAUGGUGGCGGUGGUGGGGCUGGUACUCGAGAGCUGCGGUGGUGUUAGGAGGUGGGAGCGGCUCUUCAGGCUCCCGGCGGUGGAAGUUGCGGUGGCAGCCGCAGGCAGCGCAUUUGAGGGAGGUGGGGUCAGUGGGAGUGGCAGUAGGGGAAGGCAUGAACUCGCCGCAACCGUCGACGGCGUGGCCUCCCAAGCUGGCGGCGUGGUUCUUGAGGCAUUCCUUGUAAGUAACCAGAAGG
This 334-nucleotide long non-coding RNA is filed under the name Coffea arabica (coffee). Its description in RNAcentral is "long non-coding RNA (CARA_LNC004834)". Lineage: Eukaryota; Viridiplantae; Streptophyta; Magnoliopsida; Gentianales; Rubiaceae. The record is from RNAcentral.